AGAGCAUGAAUUAUAGCAUAUUUAUUGUGUCGUUCAGGUUUUUCCAUCUUUGGAUUAUGUCAGACUUCAGGUUGAGCUGCCCUUCCUUCAGCAAGUUCUCACCUUUAUUGAGCUCUCUCUUACUCUCUGGAACCACAGGAUGCUCCAGAUUUAACCUGAAUGUGUUCUCAUUUUUCAUAGAUUGGUUCAGGGAGUAAGAACUACCGAUCUGUGAUAAGAGCACGUAUGGAGGAGAUGCACCAGAUGGCAAUGCUGCAAAAGAUCGAGCCAGUGGCCACCAAUUCAGCAGCCAGGUACUGGGAGCUGCCUUUUGGUUUUUUGUGGUGGUUUUUUUUGGCAUGCCUAAGUGUUUGGCACCUGCGUAACGUGGCUUUGAGUUACUGGCAUAGCAGAAGUCUUUUCUUUCUAGGUAGACAGGCACCUACUUGAGGUGGCAGGGAUCAUCCUCAAUUUCCUGGUGCCCUUUCAGUGUCUAACAUUGACAAAGAUCUGCUGGAUAAAUAAUCAUCUGAGUUUUCAGUUUUGGUGUUUUAGUCACAAAGACUCAUGAAUUCUCUCAGCUAUAAGUAGUUAUACUCUAAUUAGAAUGGGAAGAUGACUCCUAGGAUUUCUUCCCUUGCUGGAGUCUCGGUCCAAACUCAGUAGUGAAUAAGGAAUAAAACCUUGUCUCUGGUCAACAAAGCAUUUCUUUUCCCUUCUGAACAGAGGAUGAUGGCACGUGGAGACAGAAGGAUGGUGGGAAAGUGCGGCUAACAUUUUAUAUUGGCCUUUCUUUUUUUUUUGAAUCAUUAAUCAAACUUGAGACCUCGUGCUUGCCAGACAAGUACCAUGCCGCUGAGCUCUAUCCCCAGCCCUGUAUUGGGCUUUGCUUUCUUUAUGGUUUUCAUUCAGUUCUGGGGAUGAAACCCAGGGCCAUGUGCAUGCUAAGCACAUGCUGUGCUAUUCAGCUACA
RNAcentral lists this long non-coding RNA (952 nucleotides) under Cavia porcellus (domestic guinea pig). Its description in RNAcentral is "lncRNA (ENSCPOG00000031735.1)". The record is from RNAcentral. Lineage: Eukaryota; Metazoa; Chordata; Mammalia; Rodentia; Caviidae.